Molecule: unclassified non-coding RNA, 671 nt
Filed under: Hevea brasiliensis (rubber tree)
Lineage: Eukaryota; Viridiplantae; Streptophyta; Magnoliopsida; Malpighiales; Euphorbiaceae
Source: RNAcentral
AGCAGAAGAACUAUCAUCAGGUAUCUUAGUGAUUUUUCUAUAUAUGUAUAUCGUGAAGAGCGCUUCUAGGAUUUUAUUGCUGGUUUUUACUAAGCCUAGAAUCAGGUUUCAAAAGUUUCUAUCCAUUCUAUUCAAGUGUAAAUGUAAAAUAAAAUGUUAGUGUGCUGUAUUUUGCUGCAAUGGUAAAGUUUUGUGGUAUUAAUCACGAGAAUCCAAGUUGGAAUUGUGAAAGCAGCAAUUUCAUGUAAAAUUAAUAUUUAAAUUCUCACUUCCUUAAUCCCACUUUGGUGGGGAAUCGUGAUUAAUAGUAGCUUUUCAGUGUAAAGUGCCUUUGUAAGCAUAUUGAAUUAUCUCAAAAUACUGCUAUUUAAAAAUCUAAAUUGCUGAUGAUGCAAUAUUUGGUCUUUCUGUCAUUAUCGUUCCCAAGAAUAGUGAAAGUACUGUAUAUUUACUGUGGUUGUGGUAUUGCUUUUAAUUGUUUGACUGAUGUACUCUUUUAGGGAAGGGUAUCCUAUCCAAAUUUGGGAGGAAGUCAUCCAUGCUUGAUGAAAACCGCCGUGCUACUUAUAACAUAUCAAAUCAACCUGUGGCCAGAUCAGAAUCUAUUUUUACAACAUUUGAGGGUGAAAUCAAACAGCUGGUUGCUAUUAUUCCUACGCUAGGAGCUUGGC